This 503-nucleotide ribosomal RNA is filed under the name uncultured bacterium. Its description in RNAcentral is "partial 16S ribosomal RNA". It matches the Rfam family "Bacterial small subunit ribosomal RNA", at positions 30 to 523 of the family's 1533-position model. The record is from RNAcentral.
AUUGAACGCUGGCGGCAGGCUUAACACAUGCAAGUCGAGCGGAGUGAUGGUGCUUGCACUAUCACUUAGCGGCGGACGGGUGAGUAAUGCUUAGGAAUCUGCCUAUUAGUGGGGGACAACAUCUCGAAAGGGAUGCUAAUACCGCAUACGUCCUACGGGAGAAAGCAGGGGAUCACUUGUGACCUUGCGCUAAUAGAUGAGCCUAAGUCGGAUUAGCUAGUUGGUGGGGUAAAGGCCUACCAAGGCGACGAUCUGUAGCGGGUCUGAGAGGAUGAUCCGCCACACUGGGACUGAGACACGGCCCAGACUCCUACGGGAGGCAGCAGUGGGGAAUAUUGGGCAAUGGGGGGAACCCUGAUCCAGCCAUGCCGCGUGUGUGAAGAAGGCCUUAUGGUUGUAAAGCACUUUAAGCGAGGAGGAGGCUCUUUUGGUUAAUACCCAAGAUGAGUGGACGUUACUCGCAGAAUAAGCACCGGCCAACUCUGUGCCAGCCGCCGCCGUAA